Molecule: long non-coding RNA, 663 nt
Filed under: Dromaius novaehollandiae (emu)
Lineage: Eukaryota; Metazoa; Chordata; Aves; Casuariiformes; Dromaiidae
Description: lncRNA (ENSDNVG00000016259.1)
Source: RNAcentral
GGUUCCCCUCCUCCAAGGUAACCGGAGUGCGAGGGAACAAAUCACCAGCGCACGGGAGACGGCGGGGCAGGUAGCUGCUGAAGAGGAGCACUUGAGAAGAACAGAGUAAAUCUCCAUACCAGGUACUCCAGAAGAAACUGGUUUAAAGGGACUAACAGAAUUGAAAUGACAGCCUGUCCUGGUGGAGCUGCUAUGUCCUUCGAGCACUGCAGUGUUCUUAUUCUGAUUCUGCUGGGUCAGUGCCUGCUCCAAUCAUAAGCCCAAGAAUGUAGCCUUCUGCAUCAUAAAUUUCUGAAUAUGCUGCUGGUAAGAAAACAACUCUGUUCAGUGCUUUUGGCUGGACUUAAAGGAUACAUCUACUGAGUGUAGCUGUUCCAAGGCCAUCCUGGAACUUCCCAACAGCAUCAUAGUGUGUGUCCUCUUCUGCCAACUYAGUCAGCCUGCAAGUUUCUUCAUCAGGAAAGUGAUUUCAGGGCUGUAAUUGCUCUGAUGUUACAGGAUGCACUUUCCCGUCAUGACGGCAUACAAGAGCACUGCUUUCCUUUCAACAUCAUCCUAACUGGAAGAGAACAGCUCUCUACCAAAAGCUGUCAUCUGCACAACAGUGUCUGCAGAAAGGGACCCUUUGCUUCAGCCACCUCCAUGCAAAACCUGUCUUCGUAG